Molecule: transfer RNA, 73 nt
Filed under: Candidatus Pacearchaeota archaeon
Lineage: Archaea; Nanobdellati
Description: tRNA-Asn
Rfam family: tRNA
About the family: Transfer RNA (tRNA) molecules are approximately 80 nucleotides in length. Their secondary structure includes four short double-helical elements and three loops (D, anti-codon, and T loops). Further hydrogen bonds mediate the characteristic L-shaped molecular structure. tRNAs have two regions of fundamental functional importance: the anti-codon, which is responsible for specific mRNA codon recognition, and the 3' end, to which the tRNAs corresponding amino acid is attached (by aminoacyl-tRNA synthetases). tRNAs cope with the degeneracy of the genetic code in two manners: having more than one tRNA (with a specific anti-codon) for a particular amino acid; and 'wobble' base-pairing, i.e. permitting non-standard base-pairing at the 3rd anti-codon position.
Source: RNAcentral
GUUCUGGUAGCUCAGUUGGUAGAGCGCACGGCUGUUAACCGUGAUGUCGGAGGUUCGAGUCCUUCCCAGGACG